This is a long non-coding RNA of Colius striatus (speckled mousebird), 1623 nucleotides long. RefSeq lists it as uncharacterized. NCBI's taxonomy places the organism in Eukaryota, Metazoa, Chordata, Aves, Coliiformes, Coliidae. The transcript is spliced from 4 exons. The record is from RefSeq and is a predicted model, not a curated record.
CGGGGCCCGGGCCCGGCGGGGGCUGCCGCCCGCGGCCCGCCCCGGCGCUGCCCCGCUCCGCUCUUCUGUUCGGGGUUUGACCCGCUCCCGCUUCCCCGCCGCCGCCUCCCGCUGCAGCCGGGCAGCCGCGGCGGAGCGGGACGAGCCCCGGGCAGCCGGGAACGACCGGGCUGGGCCCCGUUCUGCGGCGGGGAGUCCCGGGGGAGGCGGCCCCGGCGCUGGCAGCUGCCUGGGACACGCUUCGCUCACCGCAAACACUUUGUGUCCCGCUCUUCCCCCGCCCCGCGUUAUUUCCUUCGCGCUGUUGUGUUUAAACGCUGCUUGAUGCGGUCCCAUGGCGGGGGAGGGGGAGGAAGUUCAGCCCCAGAGAGGGGUGACAGCAGCUGAAAGGGCUCCUGGAGCCCCCCUGGAAUCGCAUCGGUAGCGCCGGGUCCCUCUCUCCAGCAGCUGACUUGGGGAUUUCUUCUGAAGCCACCUCUCUGGAGGGGACGGUGGCUGCAGCUCAGGAGGGAGCCACGGGGCUGUGGGGCGGCUGCCUCUGGCCUGGCUUCCUUUUGGGACGGGAGGUUGCAACUUUGGCUCAGUGUCUCUGCUGCCACUUCUCCCUCACGGGUGGUGUGAGCACGUCUGGGGGCAGCAAACACACAACUGUGGUGAAAAGUUGGUUGCCCCACAGGUUCUCAUCUGAGUCAGGUGUUUUAAAGUGAUAUAAAGGGCUUUGGAUUCCCUAAAGGAAGCCCUGUGAGGGCCAUCAGUGGGAGGGGGCUCUUGGUCAGUGCUGUCUGCUCCUUGGGUUCAUGUGGUGGGCACAGCUCUUUGUUCCUCUUCCCACUGGGUGUGGUUGAACUUGUCCUGCCCUCACCUCUGUGUGUCCCUCUGAACUCCCUCCUUUGGGGUUUUAUCUGUACUUCCAAGUCUACUCCUCCCUUUUGAAUGCUUGUGGCAGGCAGGAAGGUGACAAAAGGAGUUGUGUUGGUGAUUUGUUGGGGGCCCUGUGGGCGGUGGUGGAAGCGGCCAGCGCCGGCACCUCGGUUCUCUGCCUGUGUGAGAAGGGAGAUGCCAAGGUCACAGAAGAGACAGGCGAGAUCUCCAAGAAGGAAAAGGAAAUGAAAACAGGAAAGUGCCACGUCCUUGUUGCUGUUCCGAGGGUGGUGUUUCUCACAGAGCCUGCGGCAGCUGAUCUUCAAGAUCCUGCAGGAGAUCUGCAGCCUACUGGCAGUACCUCCUAGGCUACCUGCUGCUCGGGGGCUUCGUGGCCUUGGGUGUGUGCUCCAGGAACGGCCCAGUGGAGAACCAGCGCAGCAUCUGUCGCCUCUGCUGGGGCCUGCAGCUCCUGCUCACGGCUCAGGCAUCCAGCUCCAUUCUGUGUCCUUGCCCAUGCUGCUCACUGUCGCCUGCACCGAGAACAUCGAGCACGUGGCCUCUUGGACUUCCACUGCCCACAGGGGAGAACUCUCAGCGCCCUGGCUGGCUCCUGGUGCCCCUCUGGCUUUACAGAUGGGGAGAGGGGGGUACAGGAGCUGAGGGGUGUGUGGAAGCCGGGCGUGCUGGGGAGGAAGGGCAGAUACUGCUUGUGGAUUUAAGUCUGUUUCUGGUUUUAAUAAAGAUGUAUUUUGUAGCUAA